This is a microRNA precursor of Equus caballus (horse), 143 nucleotides long. NCBI's taxonomy places the organism in Eukaryota, Metazoa, Chordata, Mammalia, Perissodactyla, Equidae. The record is from Ensembl.
CACCGACCGAGAGAGACAGAAAAGGAGGCGGUCGAGGGAAUCUGAGAAGGCGCACAAGGUUUGUGUCCAAUACGCUCCACACCUUGCGCUACUCAGGUCUGCUCGUGCCCUCCCAUGGUAUCAGCUCUCCUGCGAUGUGGGGA